This 822-nucleotide ribosomal RNA is filed under the name Nocardia sp. DP_00095. RNAcentral's name for it is "bacterial SSU rRNA". It matches the Rfam family "Bacterial small subunit ribosomal RNA", at positions 26 to 865 of the family's 1533-position model. Lineage: Bacteria; Bacillati; Actinomycetota; Actinomycetes; Mycobacteriales; Nocardiaceae. The record is from RNAcentral.
AGGACGAACGCUGGCGGCGUGCUUAACACAUGCAAGUCGAGCGGUAAGGCCUUCGGGUACACGAGCGGCGAACGGGUGAGUAACACGUGGGUGAUCUGCCUCGCACUUCGGGAUAAGCCUGGGAAACUGGGUCUAAUACCGGAUAUGACCAUGGAAUGCAUGUUUUGUGGUGGAAAGAUUUAUCGGUGCGAGAUGGGCCCGCGGCCUAUCAGCUUGUUGGUGAGGUAACGGCUCACCAAGGCGACGACGGGUAGCCGACCUGAGAGGGUGACCGGCCACACUGGGACUGAGACACGGCCCAGACUCCUACGGGAGGCAGCAGUGGGGAAUAUUGCACAAUGGGCGAAAGCCUGAUGCAGCGACGCCGCGUGGAGGAUGACGGCCUUCGGGUUGUAAACUCCUUUCGACAGGGACGAAGCGCAAGUGACGGUACCUGUAGAAGAAGCACCGGCCAACUACGUGCCAGCAGCCGCGGUAAUACGUAGGGUGCGAGCGUUGUCCGGAAUUACUGGGCGUAAAGAGCUUGUAGGCGGUCUGUCGCGUCUUCUGUGAAAACUUGGGGCUCAACCUUAAGCUUGCAGGCGAUACGGGCAGACUAGAGUACUUCAGGGGAGACUGGAAUUCCUGGUGUAGCGGUGAAAUGCGCAGAUAUCAGGAGGAACACCGGUGGCGAAGGCGGGUCUCUGGGAAGUAACUGACGCUGAGAAGCGAAAGCAUGGGUAGCAAACAGGAUUAGAUACCCUGGUAGUCCAUGCCGUAAACGGUGGGUACUAGGUGUGGGUUUCCUUCCACGGGAUCCGUGCCGUAGCUAACGCAUUAAGU